UACGAAGGGUGCAAGCGUUGUUCGGAUUUAUUGGGCGUAAAGCGCGCGCAGGCGGAUAAUUAAGUCAGAUGUGAAAUCUCGGGGCUCAACCCCGAAACUGCGUCUGAAACUGGUUAUCUAGAAUCAUGGAGAGGGAAGGGGAAUUUCACAUGUAGGGGUAAAAUCCGUAGAGAUGUGAAGGAACACCAGAGGCGAAGGCGCCUUCCUGGACAUGUAUUGACGCUGAGGCGCGAAAGCGUGGGUAGCAAACAGG
RNAcentral lists this ribosomal RNA (253 nucleotides) under uncultured bacterium. RNAcentral describes it as "partial 16S ribosomal RNA". It matches the Rfam family "Bacterial small subunit ribosomal RNA", at positions 524 to 776 of the family's 1533-position model. The record is from RNAcentral.